GACGAACGCUGGCGGCGUGCUUAACACAUGCAAGUCGAACGGAAAGGCCCUGCUUUUGUGGGGUGCUCGAGUGGCGAACGGGUGAGUAACACGUGAGUAACCUGCCCUCGACUUUGGGAUAACUUCAGGAAACUGGGGCUAAUACCGGAUAGGAGCUCCUGCUGCAUGGUGGGGGUUGGAAAGUUUCGGCGGUUGGGGAUGGACUCGCGGCUUAUCAGCUUGUUGGUGGGGUAGUGGCUUACCAAGGCUUUGACGGGUAGCCGGCCUGAGAGGGUGACCGGCCACAUUGGGACUGAGAUACGGCCCAGACUCCUACGGGAGGCAGCAGUGGGGAAUAGUACACAAUGGGCGGAAGCCUGAUGCAGCAACGCCGCGUGCGGGAUGACGGCCUUCGGGUUGUAAACCGCUUUCGCCUGUGACGAAGCGUGAGUGACGGUAAUGGGUAAAGAAGCACCGGCUAACUACGUG
Molecule: ribosomal RNA, 468 nt
Filed under: uncultured bacterium
Lineage: Bacteria
Description: partial 16S ribosomal RNA
Rfam family: Bacterial small subunit ribosomal RNA
Source: RNAcentral